AUUGAACGCUGGCGGCAUGCUUUACACAUGCAAGUCGAACGGUAACAGGCCUUCGGGUGCUGACGAGUGGCGAACGGGUGAGUAAUGCAUCGGAACGUACCCAGAGGUGGGGGAUAACGCAGUGAAAGCUGUGCUAAUACCGCAUGUGAUCUGAGGAUGAAAGCGGGGGACCGAGCAGCAAUGUUUGGCCUCGCGCCUUUGGAGCGGCCGAUGUCGGAUUAGCUAGUUGGUGGGGUAAAGGCCUACCAAGGCGACGAUCCGUAGCUGGUCUGAGAGGACGACCAGCCACACUGGGACUGAGACACGGCCCAGACUCCUACGGGAGGCAGCAGUGGGGAAUUUUGGACAAUGGGCGCAAGCCUGAUCCAGCAAUGCCGCGUGCGGGAAGAAGGCCUUCGGGUUGUAAACCGCUUUUGGCAGGAACGAAACGGUGUCCGCUAAUACCGGGCGCUAAUGACGGUACCUGCAGAAUAAGCACCGGCUAACUACGUG
This 492-nucleotide ribosomal RNA is filed under the name uncultured bacterium. RNAcentral's name for it is "partial 16S ribosomal RNA". It matches the Rfam family "Bacterial small subunit ribosomal RNA", at positions 30 to 507 of the family's 1533-position model. The record is from RNAcentral.